RNAcentral lists this ribosomal RNA (500 nucleotides) under uncultured bacterium. RNAcentral describes it as "bacterial SSU rRNA". It matches the Rfam family "Bacterial small subunit ribosomal RNA", at positions 26 to 518 of the family's 1533-position model. The record is from RNAcentral.
AGAACGAACGCUGGCGGCGCGUUUAAGCAUGCAAGUCGAGCGGCAAGGGCCUUCGGGCCCCUAGAGCGGCGGACGGGUGAGUAACACGUGGACAAUCUGCCCCCCGGCCCGGGAUAGCCCAGGGGAAACCUGGAUUAAUACCGGAUGAGACGGGACCCGCGAUGGCGGGAUCCGGGAAAGGCGCUGCGGCGCCGCCGGGGGAUGAGUCUGCGUCCCAUUAGCUAGACGCGGGUAACGGCCCACCGUGGCGACGAUGGGUAGCCGGCCUGAGAGGGUGGACGGCCACAUUGGAACUGAGACACGGUCCAGACUCCUACGGGAGGCAGCAGCUAAGAAUCUUCCGCAAUGGGCGAAAGCCUGACGGAAGCGACGCCGCGUGAACGAAGAAGGCCGUGAGGUUGUAAAGUUCUUUUCGGGAGGGGAACAACCGUGGCAGGGAAUGGCCGCGGGAUGACGUGAAUCCCGGAAUAAGCCCCGGCUAACUACGUGCCAGCCGCCGC